UUAAUUAAAUUAAAUGUUAAUUUAAAGCCAAGUGGCACAACCAAAUAAAAUAAAAAAAAAAGAAAAAGAAAAAAAAGAAAAGAAUAAAGGAGAAAAGACUAGAAGAGAAGAGGGAAUUUUCUUUCCCAUUUUUGUUUUCUCCUCCUCCCCGUGAACAACCAACCAUGAAACCCACUUCUCCCAUCUUUUCUCUUUUACACUAAUUUCUUCAAAUUUCACCUCCAAUUAAUUAUCCAUCUUCUCCCAACACCUUUCCAAAGAAGAAUUUGAAGAAAAGAAGGAAAAAUCAAAGAGAAAAUUCAAGGUUGAGGGAGAGUGAAUAGUAACCAAGGGUUUGGAAAUUUGAAAGGCUGUAGAUUCAAGGAACAGUAGUGCAAGAUUUGCAUCAACCCAGUCAGAGUUACAUCAUUGACCAUACUAGGGUAUAUUUUGUAAAUUUUUUAUAUGAACUUGAUUGUGGUAAUAUAGCAUGUACAUAAAGUUUUAGAGAUGAAGUUGUAUAUGUAAAUAUGGAUGAUUAAUAUAAGUUCUGUGUUGAGAUUAUUGAAAUGUUAUGAAGUGUUUGAUCUCA
Manihot esculenta (cassava) is the source of this 571-nucleotide long non-coding RNA. RefSeq lists it as uncharacterized. The record is from RefSeq and is a predicted model, not a curated record. NCBI's taxonomy places the organism in Eukaryota, Viridiplantae, Streptophyta, Magnoliopsida, Malpighiales, Euphorbiaceae. The transcript is spliced from 2 exons.